RNAcentral lists this ribosomal RNA (196 nucleotides) under Enterobacter cloacae. RNAcentral's name for it is "partial 16S ribosomal RNA". It matches the Rfam family "Bacterial small subunit ribosomal RNA", at positions 642 to 789 of the family's 1533-position model. Lineage: Bacteria; Pseudomonadati; Pseudomonadota; Gammaproteobacteria; Enterobacterales; Enterobacteriaceae. The record is from RNAcentral.
GGAAGAACACCAGUGGCGAAGGCGAUUCUCUGGACUGUAACUGACGCUGAGGCUCGAAAGCGUGGGGAGCAAACAGGAUUAGAUACCCUGAAAUGCGUAGAGAUUAGGAAGAACACCAGUGGCGAAGGCGAUUCUCUGGACUGUAACUGACGCUGAGGCUCGAAAGCGUGGGGAGCAAACAGGAUUAGAUACCCUG